RNAcentral lists this ribosomal RNA (114 nucleotides) under Cordylochernes scorpioides. The record is from RNAcentral. Lineage: Eukaryota; Metazoa; Arthropoda; Arachnida; Pseudoscorpiones; Chernetidae.
ACGGCCAUACCACAUUGAAAACACCGGUUCUCGUCCGAUCACCGAAGUUAAGCAAUGUCGGGCCCGGUCAGUACUUGGGAGGGUGACCACCUGGGAACACUGGGUGCAGAAUAG